UGCUUGAAGAUAGGGGGACCAUCCUCUAAGCCUAAAUACUCUUCAGUGACCGAUAGUGAACUAGUACCGUGAGGGAAAGGUGAAAAGAACCCCUAUUAGGGGAGUGAAAUAGAAUCUGAAAUUGAAUGCUUACAAUCAGUCGGAGCUCCUUGUGAGUGACGACGUACCUUUUGUAUAAUGGGUCAGUGACUUAAUUUAUGUAGCAAGCUUAAGCCGUUAGGUGUAGGCAUAGCGAAAGCGAGUCUUAAUAGGGCGUUAGUUGCAUGAAUUACAACCCGAAACCGAUUGAUCUAGAUAUGAGCAGGUUGAAGGUAAGGUAACACUUACUGGAGGACCGAACCCGUUGCCGUUGAAAUGGCUUGGGAUGACUUGUGUCUAGGGGUGAAAGGCCAACCAAAAUCGGAGAUAGCUGGUUUUCCGCGAAAACUAUUUAGGUAGUGCGUUGAGAUAUAGAUUAAGAGGGGUAGAGCACUAAAUAGGCUAGGGGGAAGAAAUUCUUACCAACCCUAAUAAAACUCCGAAUACUCUAAUUGUCUCAGCAGACAGACUGCGAAUGCUAACGUCCGUAGUCGAGAGGGAAACAACCCAGAUCACCAACUAAGGUCCCAAAAUCGUAAUUAAGUGUGAAAGGAUGUGAAGACUCCAAAACAGCCGGGAGGUUGGCUUAGAAGCAGCCAUCCUUUAAAGAUAGCGUAACAGCUCACCGGUCUAAUUAAGAGACUUUGCGCCGAAGAUGUAACGGGGCUAAAAUUACGUACCGAAGUUGUGAAUUUAUAAAGUCCUCGGACUUUAUAUCUGGUAGCGGAACGUUCUGUAAGCCGUUGAAGGAAGACCCGCGAGGGCUUCUGGAGGUAUCAGAAGUGCGAAUGCUGACAUGAGUAGCGACAAACAGAGUGAAAGACUCUGUCGCCGAGAGUACAAGGGUUCCUGCGUAAAGCUAAUCUUCGCAGGGUUAGUCGGCCCCUAAGACGAGAGCGAAAGCUGUAGUCGAUGGGAACCAGGCAAAUAUUCCUGGACCAGGUGGUAGUGACGGAUGUAGUAAAUUGUAACUCCUUAAUGGAUUGGAGUUGCCGUGAAUAUGUCCCAGGAAAUAGCUCCACCAUUAGACCGUACCCGAAACGGACACACGUGUACCGGUAGAGUAUACCUAGGCGCUUGAGAGAAUGAUGUUGAAGGAACUCGGCAAAUUGCUUCCGUAACUUCGGAAUAAGGAAGACCCAAUAUUAGGCAACUAAAUUUGGGUGGCACAAGCUAGGGAGAAGCGACUGUUUAUCAAAAACACAGGUCUCUGCUAACACGUAAGUGGAUGUAUAGGGGCUGACGCCUGCCCGGUGCUGGAAGGUUAAGGCAAGAUGUGCAAGCAUUGAACCGAAGCCCCAGUGAACGGCGGCCGUAACUAUAACGGUCCUAAGGUAGCGAAAUUCCUUGUCGGGUAAGUUCCGACCUGCAUGAAUGGCGUAACGAUUUCUCCACUGUCUCCAACAUCAACUCAGCGAAAUUGAAUUCUCCGUGAAGAUGCGGAGUUCC
RNAcentral lists this ribosomal RNA (1527 nucleotides) under marine metagenome. RNAcentral's name for it is "bacterial LSU rRNA". It matches the Rfam family "Bacterial large subunit ribosomal RNA", at positions 435 to 2070 of the family's 2925-position model. The record is from RNAcentral.